CUCGAGGCAAGACAAGUGUGAACACACCUUCCCUAAAUCCACUGGAAUGUGGUAUAGGACAGAGGAGAGACCAAGGUUACAACGCUCUAGAGUAUGUAUCACUGUGACUAAGUAAGACAGGAAGUUCAGCCCAGGAAACAUAGACUAGAAUAUGAGAACUAAUGUUAACAAGUGAAGAAAGGGUUUGGCAAGUGUAUGUGUGGGAGUACCGGAACGAGACCAAAGCCUGCAUAAAAAAAUGGGCGUGGAGUUUUCACAGUUUCACUAUGAGCUUCUCCUUACAGUCAUUUACAUGGCACCGGGUUUCACAGUCACAGGUCAUCUGAGAAGCGGUCAUCUCACUGAAAUCACUGGAGCGGUGUUUAGACAACCAUGUGUGGAAAACUGAACUGAAACUUUCACAUUUUAAGGAAUAUUUCUUGGGCUACAUUUGUUAUCUUGAACUGGAUUCUUCCUAAGGACACAAGGAGUCAAUACACCUGCCUACUAUCUCACUCAGACUUAGACUGCGGAGCACCAGAGAUGUCAGAAUCACCAGACACAUGCAUAGAAAUGGACGAAUUCACUCCACUUCCUAUUGUACCAGGGGCAAGUGACGCAGAAAAUGGCACUUGCAAGGAAGUUAGCAGGAGGAGAAAGAAGUUCGGGUCCUGUUGCGAUAACGAGCACUACAGGGGACUGGCCAUCUGGAGCAUCAUCUGCGGGCUCUCCUGCAUCGGAAUCAAAGCUCUGAUAAAUUCAGUCGAGGCUGAGAAGACGACAGAUCGAGAGGAAUCUAAAAAGUUAUCAAAAAAGGCAAGAAAAUUUGGCAUCAUUUCCAUCGUGACGUGGAUUUCCAUUUUGCUGUCAAUUCCUUUGUUAAUGGGACUGAUCUCGUAUCUCAUCACUUUUCAAGACUGAGAAAAUAUCCAGUGGAGUGGCUCUUGUGUUUCUGGAAAUUUGUGGAGACAGAGCUGCUUACCAACGACUAAAGUCAAAAAUCAGAAAGACACAAAGAAGCUGGAUGUUACAUGAAACGGACUCAGACCGCAUUAGUCUUUCUUGCCGUCACAGUUCACACCAGUAUGGAAAGUUGUAUUAAUGAGGUUUUACAUGUUUUUAUACGGUGUAAUAUUUAUUUAACAAUAUAUGCACAUAUGGACAAUUAAAAAUCUAAAUGAGCAUAUAAAAGCAUUGCCAAAUUAUACAUGACACUACAUAACACUUAUAGUUAUACAUCUAGUAAGGACCCAAUCCUUAAAAUUUCUACUAUUACAAUUUAAUAUACUCAUUCUAAGAUAUGGUAUAUAAUUUGCAGAUAGUAAACAAGUAAAUAAAUUAAGUCACUGUGAAUCUAAACCUAUUCAUUAAGGACUGGGUCCUUACUGGAAAUAAAAAAAUGGCAUGGCAGUGCUUCUCCGGGAUCUUAUGAGAUCCUCCUCUCGUGGUGCGGACAUUAUCUUGGCAUUAUUGCAUUGUUACCAUAUUAGUUUUAUUUACGUCAAAUGCAUCCACAUGUUGUACUUUUAUACAGACAUGUAAAUACAAUUUUAUAAAAAAUAAAAAGACAAAAAUGUUUGUGCUCUGA
Molecule: long non-coding RNA, 1567 nt
Organism: Mugil cephalus (flathead mullet)
Lineage: Eukaryota; Metazoa; Chordata; Actinopteri; Mugiliformes; Mugilidae
Exons: 3
Source: RefSeq, a predicted model, not a curated record